GAACAAAAUAUUUUCUCUUUUUGUAACCCUAAUGCUAUUCAACGCUCUUCCUUAUCUCCUUCUCCAUACGCCGCCGCAAGCUUUCCUUCGACACCCACCGGCGAGUUAGGCUUCGUUUGGCAAAAUAUUUUUACUUCCAAUUUAAUACUUAAUUCGGGAGUGGUGCUUUUAUUUGGGGAUUCAUGAUCUAACAACCAAUUUUGUUGUGGGGUUUAAUAGUAUGAACAUUUUAGUGUUUUUUUUUUAUAAUCAAAAAUUUAUUAUUAGGGAGUAUAAAGGGGUACUCAAACCCUUACAACAAAGAACACUAAACUAAGUGCUCAUUGAAUUUUUAUAAGUAAUUUAAGCUUCCUAUCUAAUUUUAAUACUGCAUUGAGUAAAUGUUGUCAUGUGAGUUAGAUUGAUUGUCCAUAUUAUCAAGAUUUCAACUUUUUUGAAAAAAAAAGGAAAACAGAGUGAAUUGGCAAAGCGAGGCAUUAAUUGAGUUUUUUUGCAAAUGUUUUCUUCUAAUGAAUCUCAUCUGUGCUAUGUUUUAAGUAGUGUUUUCUUUUUGUGGAUUUCCAUUGUUGUUUGUGGUUGAUACCCAUUAUGGGGAUAAAAAGAUGCAAAUAAAAUUUAUGGAUGAAUGUCUAGGUAUGUUUUGCUAUUGAAUAUAUCAAAGAAGACAAAAAAGGUCAUGAAAGUCAUAAAUUUCAAAAAGAAACUAUAAAUUUACCCACCUUUUAGAGAAUAUAUUGGAGUUUAGACGUCUGAAGAUUUCAUGAGUAUGUAAUAUGGAAUUGUGAUAAAUUUUGAAUUAAUACAUUUCAAGUCCAAUUUUUUUUUUUUUUGAAACCUUGCCCACCUUUGCAUUGUAUGAAUACUCAAAGUAUGGCUGCAUUUGGAAGUCAUUCAUGGUCAUUGAAAAUAAUGUUUAGUGUCAAACAAUUGGCAAACCUGGUAACUCUUAGCAGCUUUUUAACUCUUGUUAAAGUAGCUUAUGAUGCUCAAUGGUAGUCCUUACAUAAGGAGGUCAAACAUAAUAUAUAAAAUAGAGAAAGAGUCAGGUGUUAAAUUUGAACACGUAUCUGCCCCCAGGCUAAUGAUAUUGCCAAAGCUGUUGGUCGAGAAGCUUUAGAAAUGAUUAAACAAGUGUCUAUAGGUAUGAUUCUUUAUUCGUCUAUUGUGUUUAAUGUUGUGUUUUGAUCUUUAAAUGUCAUAAAUGCAGUGUGAUUCCUGCAUUCAAGUCUGCUGCUGAGGAGCUUUUAAAAACUCUGGUUUAUCAGAAGUUGAUUUUUACUUGGAAAGGCUCUAGCCAAGGCUGUUGCUUAUGAUUGUUCGUGUGGCAACUGGGGGAAAAUAUGCUAUAUGGUCCACAGGAAUACCUUCUGCAGUUCAUUUAUGUUAUGGUUCAUAUUCACGAUAAGUAGGCACACACUUCAGCUUGCUUUUUAGGAGCCAGUUUUGCUGUUCGAACAAUUUAAUUACUACCAUUACCGUGCGCUGAUUCCAUUCUUGUGCAAGCGUCAUCACCGUCAACACCGAAUCCCUAACUCGGUCUCGUUCAAAAUCUCCUUCGUCACCAACGCCGUUCAUCACCAUCUUCGAUUCAUCACCAAAUCGCAUUCUCCGAUUCAUCACCAACACCGUUCAUCACCAUCUUCGAUUCAUCACCAAAUCGCAUUCUCUGAUUCAUCACGAACGCCGUUCAUCACCAUCGUCGAUGCAUCCAAUUUCUUCAUCUUUCAAAUCUGGAAUUCACCAUUGCACCAUCGCCGAUUCAUUCCUGAUUCACUGAUCUCACGUCAAAAGCGUUCUCCAUUUCGCAACCGACGCCGCAUUUUUCUGAUCUAUUAUUGAUUUGAGUGUAAGUGUGUUUGGAGUCUCAGCAGAAUCUAUGCAGUGUUCUUAUGAUACAAAAGGAAACAGUGUCCCAACUAUUCUCAUGCUAAUGCAGGACCGUUUAUAUUCACAGGGGGAACUAAAGGAAUCCCUUAAGAAGGUUGAUUUUACUUGGAUGAAUUCUAUCACGGCAAUGAUAAAGGAUCCUGAAGUUGAUAAAGCAUUUGGAUGGGUGCUUGAAAUGGAACACCAUCAAAGGAAGUUGAUUCUGCCAAAGAAAGUUCAAAGCCUGAAAGGCCAUCUGUUUUGUCUAAGAGAAGUGGCCAGACUUCUAUAUUACAUCAUAAGAAACCCACUUCUAGUGUUGAUGCUGAAAUUGUUGGUGGUUCUACCUUAAGUUCGCAGGCUAUGCUGAAACAAGAGGUUUCUACUGCAUCAUCAAAAGCCGCUGCUCUUAAAAAAGGUGAUCGAGUAAAAUUUGUUAGUAACUUUCCACCUGCUAUCUCAUCACUACAAAAUUAUUCUUCAAGGGCGGAUUCUAGCAUGAGAGAGCCACUUAUAUGUCUCACCUGUGAGAGACUGAAUUUCAACCGCUGGAUGAGUUAAACGGUUGUGAUGCUGUACCUGGAGAGAGGAAAAUUCCUGCAGUUAUACCAGGUUAUUUCUGUCCUGCUUUGGCUAAGGCUGUAAAAACAAUGAAGAAGGGAGAGAAAGUUCUCUUGAAUAUUAAGCCAGAAUAUGCUUUUGGUGAGAGUGGAAAACCUUCAUCAGGAGAUGAUGGUGUUGUGCCUCCCAAUGCUUCGCUCCAAAUGGAUCUUGGGUUGGUCUCGUGGAGGAUUGUAUCUGACAUUACUAAGGAUAGGAAGGUCCUUAAGAAGAUCUUGAAGGAAGGAGAGGGAUAUGAAAGACCAAAUGAUGGAGCUCUGGUUCUAGGUACAGUUUUGCUAAUCAAAGCUUUUAAAGGUUUUUGUACUUUGAUUUCAUUUGUAAAGGUGAGAAUAUCAUGUCUUCAUUUUCUUUAGGUUUUUUUAGUUUUGACAAAGUUGGAAGAUAUACUUGAUUACUUAUAUAAUGCUAACGCUAACGUGUUUA
RNA transcript from Trifolium pratense (red clover), 2913 nucleotides. RefSeq lists it as uncharacterized. The record is from RefSeq and is a predicted model, not a curated record. NCBI's taxonomy places the organism in Eukaryota, Viridiplantae, Streptophyta, Magnoliopsida, Fabales, Fabaceae. The transcript has 10 exons.